Meleagris gallopavo (turkey) is the source of this 9091-nucleotide non-coding RNA. NCBI's taxonomy places the organism in Eukaryota, Metazoa, Chordata, Aves, Galliformes, Phasianidae. The record is from RefSeq and is a predicted model, not a curated record.
GGGUGUGGGGAUGCAACGUGCGGGACGGAGAUGCCGACAGCACCCGGGCGUCGCUCCUGCCGCGCUGUGCUCGUGGUGCAGAGCUCCGGCCCUGCCCUGCUCUCACGAGAGCACCAGCACGGCCUCCCAGCGGGUCGCAGCGGGGCCCAGGAGGCAGCAGCGGCCCAGGAGGCAGCAGGGCUCGGCAGGGCCGGGCAUACAGCUCUGCCAGCAGCACCAGGCGGCACUGCAGCACGGCUCCGGGCCCAGCUGAGAGGCCCCGGUGGGAAGGCCCGGCCUGCGCGGGAGGGACCAGUGCUGCCAGCCAGGAGGCCGCCAUUCCUCCUGGCAGCGGCACACUGCGGUGGCACGGAGCUGAUGGGGCAGGACAGCCCGUUCCCGGACUUUCACUGAAACCCCAGGGACGGCUGCUCCGCACCUUCCAUCGGAACAUACAUCAGGGAUGGGAAUCCUGACCUCUGCCCCUGCGGGUCCUUACAGACUGCGGUAACAGACAAGUGCAGGAGGUGGCUCAGACCCCUGGCCCGAUGUCUCUUGUGUCAGAGGGAGCUCUUUCAUGUGUGUGCUCUUCCCUCUGCCAACGGACGUGUCCUCAGAAGUGGAGAUCCUGCCAGCAAGCACAGGCUGAGAGCCAGCUUACUCAGCUUUGCUUCUCCGAACGUGUGUGAAAAGGCUGAGACUGUGUGUGGAGAUGCAUGCACUACAGUUAUCAUCUGACUUUCUGUAACGGCUUUCCAAUUCUGCCCUUUUCUGUUUGUAUCUCCCCUCGAGUCUGUUUACAGCUCUCUCCCCCAUGGCACACUGGGGGCAGGGGCGGAGUGAGCGAACGGCCGGGUGCUGCUCAGCUGCCUGCCGGGUGAAACCACAGCGUGUGGCAGCGUGCCUGCACCUGUGUGCCUGUGGGGACACGCAUUUUUUCUUCUUAAGUAGACAUGUCAGUCUUUUUAAUUCAUUACUGUAUUUGGGCUUCUGUUUUCUGGUAAACUAAUUUCAUAAGGAUCUCUUUGUGAAGGCCUGCCUCUGCUGUUCUGAGGCCCAGGGACGUGAGCUUUGAUCUUGCUAUGUGCCCUGUUUGGUGCCUUAAGGAUGCUGAACUCCACUGGUGAUUGCACUGCAGCCAAGGCUGCCCUUGAGGUUCCCAUUCUCUGCUUGCCCCUCCAGGUGAGAGAGAGCUCCAGCACAGCACUUCUGCUCGUAUGCUCCUCUAUCACUAGGAGGAGGAACAUGUCAUCAGUGUAUAGGAACCGGCUGAAAUGUAUGCCCGGCUGUUCUGUCCCUCCAACAGAUAUUUGGCUUGUUGAUGUCCCCCAGACCUGCUUUGUCCUCUGAGCCUGCUUUGUGCCCUAAUAUGAGGUUUGGCUCCUCUUCUGGCAUCAUGCAUCCCCAGCAUGGGAGCUUGGUACAAUAUUUCCCUGGUAUGAGCCAGCCUUCUUGGGCACUGCAUGUCCUUGAGCUGAGUCUGGAGCUGUGCCCAUGGAGAGUGGGUCCCCACAAGGACAGGAGUAUUCCCAAAUGGGAAAGUUUCCCCUACACAGGGACCUUGUGUUGGCAUCAACUGCAUGCAGCUGCUGUGCCACCUGCAGUGCUGGUGAUAGCACCGUGGCUUUGUGCAUCCGUGAGGUUACAGCCAAGGGGGCUUGGGGCCCUCGCAGGGCCCAGGGACCUACAGAGCUUUGUGUGCACUGAACUGCAGCAUAGUCCUUGAGGGGAAUGUGCCACCUGCAGGGAAAUAUUACAACUGUAUGAACUGAUGCUCCUCUACUUGAGACGCCAGCACAAAGGUAGUUGAUUCGCUCCCUUUCUUUGGUACUCCAGAUGCCUAUAGACUGAAGGAAGAGGCAGGCGCAGGAGGUGACUUGGACCUCUGAUACGAUGUCUCUUGUUUCUGACAGAGCUCUUUAAGUCCCCAUUUCACUGACAAGGGACAUGUUCUCAGAAAUGGUGAUCCUAUCAGCAAGCACAAGGUGAGAGUCAGCUCACUCAGUCAGAUUUACUUAUCAAAACAUCUGGCUGCAAAUUUGUGCUGGUUACUCAGGCUUCCUCUGUUGGCAAGAAAUCAAAUAAAACGGAUGAUUAUAAAUGAUCUAAUGAUUGCAAAUGGACUUCAGAUGUCUCAGACUGACAUUUCUGGCAGUUAAAAAGAGGUGCAAAUUCUUUCAGCUGUGGGUAUGGAAGUACAGUUGAAAACUAUUUUGUUUUUCAGCACAAGGGGAUGGAUGUCCCCUCAGCAAAUCCCCGGGUUAGUGGUAAACUAAGGAAGGGGAGAGGGAGGAAAAGGAAGGCAGUUUGUCGCUACAAAGGCCACAUGUAAGGAUUUGUGUUAGGAGAGUGCUCUUUUAAGAGCUUCUAAUGAAGGGCCUUUUCCAGUGCAACGAUGAAUAAUAAAGGUAGGAAUUGAUGGAAACCGAGUCUGAUCUGUCACACUCAUCAGAGAGGGCACGUGAGCAUGCAGGAGUGUUUAUUCCAGCUGGGCUAACUGAUUGAAGACUUCUGUGUUAUGAUGAUAAGAAGAAGAUGGUAAGAGAACAGUGCUGAGAUGCAGACCUGACAAAGCAAAAAUGAAAACAAUGACAAGAAACAAAUCUCUGGUUGCGCUAGUGGAUCUAGCCACAGGUGCCACUUCCAGGAAAAUCAACUUGGACUUUGCAACCAAUAAGACUGUGAACAAGGGCAGGAGCUGGACUAGGAGGAGUGCAGGCAAACUGCAGAGCUCUGCAAGCCCAUGGUGGGAGCAGGAGAAACAAAGUAGGGAGGAAAGAAGGCUCAGAUGAGUUAUGACAGUGCUGUACAUCCUGAGGAAGCAGAGCUAAUGUAUAUGAAGACUGACAAAGUGGAAAGUAUUUAUAGGAAAAUGAGCCUUCUUGCUUUUCAAUGACAGGAUUAGGUAAGUGUGUUAGCAAUGCAAACUGUAAUGAUCCUGGAGGGUAGCGCUGGCAGCUUCCUGCUGUCCUUCCUCCCUGUCCUGAAUUCUAACUUGUAGUAUAAAGCAAGGAAAAUCCCCUGGUUUCCCAAAGUAAUAAAAAAUUUGCUCUUGCAAAUGAACACUGUGUUUCCCUGUUUGGCUACUGCAGACAUCAGGCAAAAUGUGUUGCCUAAAAAUGAAAUAUUAACCCUUUCUCAAGGAAGAAAAUGAAUGAAGGUUACAUGCUGGUCAAGAAGAGACUCUGCUUCCCAGCCUUAGUUUGGUUGCUUUCACAAAUGCUGUUUUACUCAAUUCCGAUAUUCUCACCUAAGAGGUAAAUAGAAUCUGACUGAGACUAAAGGUCUGCCUGAUUAUAAGGAGCCCUGUGUUGGUGGUGAUGUGGGGGAAAUAGUAGAACUGCUCCUACCAUGCCUUGCCAGAAGAAGGCGCUUCUGAGAGAUCUGGUGGGGAAAAAAGAAAAAAAAAAAAAAAAAAGUUUUCUAGGUUGAUGUAAAGUGAAAACGGUGUCAUUUUUUUUCUUCCUGUUUCUCAGUCUCACGAUGCACUGGUGUUUCUUAGGCUGGAUUUGGCUACAGAGACAAAAUAGUUCUCGCAGUCCCUUGUUCUUCCUUUUCAGCCACCUGAACUUACAGCUUAGUUCCUUUGAGGUUUGUUUUUGUAGGCUUCUGUGUGACUGUCACUGUGAUGUGAUGGGGCAGUUCAGGCUGAAGUUGUUCAGGAAGAACUCCUUUCUCCUGUACUGAGCCACUUCUGGAUCAAGCAGCUUUCUGACCUCUACAGUAAAGCAAGUAGAUACUGAACCCUUCCCACCUGAGGAAGUUUGUGAUGACAUGAGGCCUUGCACACACUAGAAAGAGUAGGAUGCAAAGGAGAAGGGUUUUCAGAGGCAAACACUUGAUAUGAGUGGUCUCCUUCUCUUUCAAGGCUGACAGUUGUGGUCCAUUCUGCUCAUCUGGAAAUGUUCAUGUUUACGGAGGGGGAGGUAGGCCCAGUUGACUCCAAGAAUAUGAAAAGAUGAUGAAGUUAGAGAAGACAUGCCACGUCAACACAGGCUUUUCUAAACAAGUGAGCUUCUGGACAAAUAAAGAAGAUGGAUAAAUGGUGGAGGUAUUUUGUAGAGACUUAUAUUCCAUCUAAACGCUACUCUACACUUCAAACAGUAUGAUCAGUAAACAUUACCUGUCUAUAUUUAACACCAGUCACAAUUGCUGGUAAACUAUGCAUGAGUGGUUCUGGCUCAUUAGGUUUCUUAAAUCCAAAGGUGUUUUUUAAUAGGGCAAUAGGACAGCCUGUUUCUUGUCAGCAGGUCUGAACUGACUGAUCAGAGAGGCAAUGUGAUAUGAGAGUAGGUAUUAAAUGAGAACAAAGUUUAAUGGAAAAAUCCGUUUGACCCUUCUUUCUGAAAUUGUGGCACUUGGGAUAACGAGUGAGCGAAGGGCUGGCUAUAGUGAGAGCAUUAGGGGCAGGGAAAGAAGCAGGAAUUGCCUGUGUCAGGCAGUAUUCACUGCUAAUUAAGACUCAUUAUGGCCAAGGAUGCAGGCAGUUGUGAAUUCCAGUAAAAGACUGGUAGCUUUUGCUGUGUGAUCAUGCGGGACUAGUUCCUCUAGUUGAUUUUACUGACAAGAGUUUCCUGGAUUAAGUAACAAUGCUGCAAUUCUAGCUUAUUUUUCUCCUCGAUCAGGGAAUUUGUGUCUUACAUGGUGACCUCAGUAACAUCCACAUGGUUUAACAUCUGAGCUGCUCCCUCUGCCACCCCAUGAUUUUAGCUGAUGUCAGCCUGUUGCUCAACCUGCACCUCCUGACUGGAGAAAUGCUUUGUAAGAGAAAUCAGUACAGUCACUUCUGCUUUAGGCCUGAUUUAAUAUCUUCACAGCUCAGAAUCCUUGGCAUCUUGGCCAAGUCCUAGGUGUUCAGUGGGAAAAGGGGAGCUGCCCAGGUGGCCCAUUCAGACCAUAGGAAAAUACGUAUUCCCUAAGGGAAAUGGCAUCAGGAAGGGCUGUUUCUGGCAUGAACUGGGGGGGCCAACUCCCGUUGUGGUGGAAGAAUACAGACAUCGUGCCAAUAUCUGCAAUGGUCACCUCUGUGAAGGCCCCAGUAGGACAGUAAGGAGCUGCUACAUAGGGAGAUGUUCAGCCCAUAUGUUUUGUUCCUGAAGAGUUCAGCCUUUGCCAUUCCAGAGUGAGUCCAUAUCUGAAGAAUGUCCGUGAGCUUUCAGAAGCAACCAAGUGCACCAAGCACAAGCAAGGAGUCCAGCCUGUGUGAAGUAUGCGAGGAGCAGAAAUCUGUUUUCUUGUCUGACUGGGAACUUCCUGAUUUGACUGGUUUCAGUCUUGGUCAUUGCUGGCCUAUUGAGACAAGUUUGAUGAAGUGUGUCCAUGCAUGACUGAGCAGGCUUGCUUAUAAGAUCGAGCAACCGAGGAGAGGGACUGACGAUUGAGGUCAGGUUAAGUAUUUCACCAACCUUCCUAAACCUGAAAUGAAGCUGGCAACUGUCCUAGAUGAGAGCCUAUUUGCUAUCUCAUGAGACUGAUAGUAAGAGCUUUUGACUGGAGCCUCUUUCCAGAAUGCUGGCCUAAAUCACAGGACAGUGUUAUCUGAUUGUCAAGGUAUAAGAGCCCGAUGGUCCAUCUGGGUUUAAUGAUUCGUCCUGGUCUAUUCUACACAGAAUCUGCCAGCAUAGUUAGUGCUACAGUCUGAAAAAGCCCAAUGUGACUGCUUAGGAAUGCAUAUACUCCUUUCUGGAGCACCACAUACGUGCAACUGCCUUUCCAGGUGGCUGGCUGCAAGGGCCAGGUGGCUAGUCCUGGGAGUAUUUUUCUGGUUGCUGCAACAUUGGACUAUGCCCAGAGAUAACAACAUCUGAUGAAUUUAUGCACAGUCCUCAUAUCCAAUCCUAUGUUAUAUUACUAGUCAAGUCUUGCCUCAGUAUAGCCUACCGGCACCUUUUCCUUGUUUUAUUUCCCCCUGUCCAGUUAAACCACUAAGACCCAAACUGUCAAAACGGUGUCUUGGCAACGGACAAUAAUUACCAAUAUGAACACGCACAGGCAGGUGGGCAGCCUGACUGGGGUGCAAGGCCAUGGGACAGGGAAGCUUUAGAAGAGCUACAUGGCUGCACCUCAGAUGGCCUCAGCUGACAAGCCAAAGGACAGACAGGAUGGGGGCAUGGUAAAUCUGUCUUAUGGCAGCUACAGUACGUCCACCUCGUACACAAGCUGUAAUAGGAAUAAAAUCUAGAGCUUCUGACUCACAGGUAAUGUAGCCUUCAAAUUAGGAUAAAUGGGGUUGGUACAUGCUAGUAAAUCCACCAAAUUUUGCUUCUGGCCAUGCUGAGCAGGCAGAACUAUUUUAAUGUUAAUUAACGUUGCUCUUCCUCACCCUCAAGCCCCUAAGCACUUUUUCCUACCAACACAUGCCAAGGAAGACAAAUUCAAUUAGAAGGAUAUUCUGAACAAAUUAAAGAAGUGUAACCUCCUGGGGCAGUCAGUUUAGACUGUCUCCGUACAAAAAUAUUUGGGGGGAGGGGGGGCAUAAGAAUUCUAAUCUCUUAGAAAAAAUGUCUGUCCAAAAUAGGUCUUGUAUUACUUGCCUAUAAAGCACAGAUUUGUUACAGAUACUCUGGGACUUUUCUAUGUCAGAGCUGCUGACUGUCUCUCAAGCACGUUUUCCUUGAGUAACUUUCUGUUAGCCUUUGUGUUUCUGCCAUCGGACUGUGCUUCCAGGAACUGGCAGUUCUGCGUAACCGGCCAUUUGCAUUCAGAGCUGCAAGUACUCUGUGAAGCCUGCUGCCUAAAACUGGAGUUUCCCCAGGAAAUUGCUCACCUAAAAGAAACAACAGAGGAAUUGAACAGUGUUUCACCCAAGGAGCUGCGGGAGGGGUUUGCAGUCAGAGUUCUGUGUGCAGGAUUUCUCAUAGAACAAGUGGAGCCCAGAUGUUCUCAGCAAAUGGCUUUCAAAACAGUUGAGGCCAGUGUCAAAUUUCCAGGCACGUGAUGGAGCUUGGAGCCAAGUUUGGGGUUACUGUUGUGUUUACCCAAAGUCUGUAAGCUGAAUUGCACCAAAGGCUGUGGGUGGGUGGAAUGAAAUUCUCUGUAACAAAUAUUUGAACGGAUGUGUGGUUUAUCUUAUUUACAGGACUUUGAGCUUUGAAGAAAGGCUGCCGUGUUUCUGUUAUUGUAAUAUUUAAGGCAUAUUCAGCUCUCUCUUGCUCGCUGGAUUUAGAUCGGGCGUUGCGCUCUAACUCAGAUGUGUUAGUACUCUAACCAUUAAGAAACCAAGCGUUUUAAAGCCAGAGGGGAACCAUUUCUAUAGAUGAUCAAUGAAACACUGCACAUUCUUCAACGCUCUGCCUUGUCUGACUGCAGUGACCUCUGCCCAUGCAGAGGAACGCCUCUUGACAAAGGUCGACCUGGGUGCCUAAGUCACAUGCUAAGAUCUUGCUAAGGCAGUGAAUCAGCAAAAAUCCAACUCCCACUUCUACAAGCUCAGAAUUUACUUUUGGUGUGUACUGUCCAGCGUUACACAGUGUCUGCCACUCACUUUGUUGAGAAACUCUGAAGUGUGCAGAAACAGAGCACAUAUUUUUUCUGUAUCGAAGUAUACCUUGACCUCUGCCAACCAAUUCUUUGACUUGAUUGCUUCUGUAUAUCUUCUCUAUAUAUCCUGUGUAUCUAAAGAAAUGUUUGACAAAGGAGCUUGGACUAUUUUUCUAAACUGAAAUUGUUGUCUCAAGCUGCCAUGUAAGGAAACUAAGUGUUAUUGUCCUUGAGAUGGCUGACUUUCAGAUCUGUGCUUGACAUAUAGUAGUUAAGCUGUAAACAAUGAAAAUCUUGUUCCGUUGUUUCAGAUGGAAUCUGAAACAGAGAUUGUCUUCAACAAUUUGAGGCUUGUGUGGGUAAACAAUACACUGACUUUUGCCUGUGGGCAGCAUGAAGAAUGCUUCUGCUUCACACCAGCAAAUAGCCAAGAGGUGACAUAGCUGCAAAGUAAGGCUCUGCAUGCUGUCACAUAAGUUGAUGGAUCAGCCCCUGGGCAGCUGUGAUGUUUGUGUGCAAAAGGAUACUGAAAAAAAUAAUUUGGACUGCCGGGCUCUUUUUCCUCAAUACACCAAGAUCUUUCAUCUAUUGCCUUUGAAUGAAAAGGGCCAGGAUCUCCCUACUACUUUGAAUAGUUUAAUGAGUAAUGGCCAGGUAUGCAAUUAGUUACUACUGAAAGCAGUAUUACAGAAAGUAACGUGCAAAGCAUUGCCAGAUGCAGAAAAUGAGCUUGCCAGUUAACAGAUGUGAGUGUCAUUUGAUGUGAAGCCCAGAUAGAGCAUGAUAAUGCUUCUGCCAGGCUGCUUCCCAAGAAUGCCCAUAACUGCACUCCCGGAGGAUGAAAGAGGGCUUAACCCAAGCCAAAGGAAAACAUGAUGAAAUAAAGUUAAAACACUGUGAUGGUGGUUUGAGACAGAGAAGUUUUGGUUAUAGCUAAACCUGAACUCUUUUAAGACAAGUGUGAGACAGGCCUUCUGUUUGUCCCCAAGACACCAUGAUACACGGCCUUUCAACCCAACGUUUCUUAUUCUGGCCAAGCAAAUCUGCUGCUGUCAAUGUUGAUGUGCAUGUUUGUGCAACUUGUGAUUGAUCUAAAAAGCAGAAUUUACAACUUCCCUUAUCUUACUAACAUUUGAUCAUGGGUGGCACAGACUGUUCAAACUGCAGAGGAAAUAUUCCUGUUAUUAAUAGGCUAUUUGCUCAAUUUCUUACAAAUUGUGCUGUUGCGCAGCCUUUCAUAAGACAAUGUACUGAGGAUUUAUGCGUGCUUGGUCACAAUGAGAUUGGAAAAAAAAUAAUGGGCAACUUUCUUUUCUUAGUUCACAGUGUGCCUUUGCCAGCCACAGGCAGAAGGGUCAGGUGGCAAGAGAAUGCAGACAGCAGGAACAUGUAGAAAAAAAUCGUUUGGAAGUAGGUUCAAGGUUAUUCCUUCUGGAAUACUGAACUGUGCUCUGCAAUCAGCUGGCAAUGUAGAGGCCUGCCUGAGCGUAAAGCUAUACAGAGGUGCUUUGAGAGGACUACUGCCUUUAAACACACCUCUCGAGCCAAAUGCAAGGUUUCAGCUUCCAACUGCUGAAAAUACCACACUGUGUAAACAAUAAUGCAAGUCUGCCCAGCGGUUACAACUUUUUUU